Long non-coding RNA from Ananas comosus (pineapple), 470 nucleotides. RefSeq lists it as uncharacterized. The transcript has 3 exons. NCBI's taxonomy places the organism in Eukaryota, Viridiplantae, Streptophyta, Magnoliopsida, Poales, Bromeliaceae. The record is from RefSeq and is a predicted model, not a curated record.
ACAUACCCACAAACCCUCUGCAUGCUAACUCAUGCAUAUAGAGCACUCUUGUAUCAAACAACAACACCUCAUCACCUCCUACAUUUUACUAAGGUUUUAGUUGUUUCUCUUCAUAUUCCUCAAUGGAAGCCCCCAAAACCACCCAGCCUCCGCCGGGCUACCCAACAAAACAGGAGAAGAAACAGUGCUGCCAAAGUUCAAAGAGUAGAGGAGAGGGAGGGUUCAUUGAAGGAUGCAUUGCUGCCCUUUGCUGCUGUUGGAUUUUUGAGAUGUGCUGCUACUGAGGAGCCUAUAUGAAGAUGCAAUAUGUUAUGAGUUGAAUGAGGAUCAAAUAUAAUAGUGUACUAAGCAGGGAGUACUUCUAUUAUAAUGGCUUGUACUACUUAUCUUGAUUCAGAAGGGUAAGGUUAGAAUUGUAACACUUUAAUUUCGGAUGAUAUACUAGCAAUACUUAAUUGAUUUAUUUAUAA